UGGAGCAUGUGGUUAAUUCGAAGCAACGCGAAGAACCUUACCAGGUCUUGACAUCCCGAUGCUAUUUCUAGAGAUAGAAGUUACUUCGGUACAUCGGUGACAGGUGGUGCAUGGUUGUCGUCAGCUCGUGUCGUGAGAUGUUGGGUUAAGUCCCGCAACGAGCGCAACCCCUAUUGUUAGUUGCCAUCAUUCAGUUGGGCACUCCAGCGAGACUGCCGGUAAUAAACCGGAGGAAGUGGGGAUGACGUCAAAUCAUCAUGCCCCUUAUGACCUGGGCUACACACGUGCUACAAUGGUUGGUACAACGAGUUGCGAGUCGGUGACGGCGAGCUAAUCUCUUAAAGCCAAUCUCAGUUCGGAUUGUAGGCUGCAACUCGCCUACAUGAAGUCGGAAUCGCUAGUAAUCGCGGAUCAGCACGCCGCGGUGAAUACGUUCCCGGGCCUU
This 445-nucleotide ribosomal RNA is filed under the name uncultured Streptococcus sp. RNAcentral's name for it is "bacterial SSU rRNA". It matches the Rfam family "Bacterial small subunit ribosomal RNA", at positions 933 to 1382 of the family's 1533-position model. The record is from RNAcentral. Lineage: Bacteria; Bacillati; Bacillota; Bacilli; Lactobacillales; Streptococcaceae.